AGCAGUAAAUUUAAUUUAGAUUUACCAGAGUACUACGAAUAGAAAGUUUAAAACUCAAAGAGCUUGGCGGUGUUUUAGACCCCUCAGGGGAACCUGUCCUAUAAUCGACAAUCCACGUUAAACCUGACCCUUUAUAGCAAUUCAGCCUGUAUACCGUCGUCGUAAGGUAACUUCUUAAAAUAUAGUAGUUAGCCCGAGAACUCUGUUAGUUAAUACGUCAGAUCAAGGUGCAGCUAAUAAAAGGGAGAGGAUGGGUUACAAUUAUCUAAUCAUAAUUAUGAAAGACAUUUCAAAUAAGAUGUUCAGAAAGAGGACUUGAAAGUAAUUCUAACUAUAUAAAUAGAAUGAAUAAGGCUCUGAAACGUG
Molecule: ribosomal RNA, 366 nt
Filed under: Conus mozambicus
Lineage: Eukaryota; Metazoa; Mollusca; Gastropoda; Neogastropoda; Conidae
Description: partial 12S ribosomal RNA
Source: RNAcentral